Molecule: ribosomal RNA, 301 nt
Filed under: uncultured bacterium
Lineage: Bacteria
Description: partial 16S ribosomal RNA
Rfam family: Bacterial small subunit ribosomal RNA
Source: RNAcentral
CAGCAGCCGCGGGAAUACGAGGGGGGCAAGCGUUGUUCGGAAUUAUUGGGCGUAAAGGGUGCGUAGGCGGUUUCGUAAGUCUUAUGUGAAAUCUAUGGGCUCAACCCAUAGUCUGCAUGGGAAACUGCGAGGCUUGAGGAUGGGAGAGGUGAGUGGAAUUUCCGGUGUAGCGGUGAAAUGCGUAGAUAUCGGAAGGAACACCUGUGGCGAAAGCGGCUCACUGGACCAUUUCUGACGCUGAUGCACGAAAGCUAGGGGAGCAAACAGGAUUAGAUACCCCCGUAGUCCCUGUCUCUUAUAC